AAGAGAGGUUAGAACAACAGGAACUGCUAAUUACCUGUAACCAUGGUUCAAUUCCAAGGCUCGCUUA
Molecule: transfer RNA, 67 nt
Filed under: Ascaphus truei (coastal tailed frog)
Lineage: Eukaryota; Metazoa; Chordata; Amphibia; Anura; Ascaphidae
Description: transfer RNA-Ser (AGY)
Source: RNAcentral